RNAcentral lists this ribosomal RNA (831 nucleotides) under Rhodotorula mucilaginosa. Its description in RNAcentral is "LSU rRNA". It matches the Rfam family "Eukaryotic large subunit ribosomal RNA", at positions 76 to 928 of the family's 3401-position model. The record is from RNAcentral. Lineage: Eukaryota; Fungi; Basidiomycota; Microbotryomycetes; Sporidiobolales; Sporidiobolaceae.
UCCCCUAGUAGCGGCGAGCGAAGCGGGAAGAGCUCAAAUUUAUAAUCUGGCACCUUCGGUGUCCGAGUUGUAAUCUCUAGAAAUGUUUUCCGCGUUGGACCGCACACAAGUCUGUUGGAAUACAGCGGCAUAGUGGUGAGACCCCCGUAUAUGGUGCGGACGCCCAGCGCUUUGUGAUACAUUUUCGAAGAGUCGAGUUGUUUGGGAAUGCAGCUCAAAUUGGGUGGUAAAUUCCAUCUAAAGCUAAAUAUUGGCGAGAGACCGAUAGCGAACAAGUACCGUGAGGGAAAGAUGAAAAGCACUUUGGAAAGAGAGUUAACAGUACGUGAAAUUGUUGGAAGGGAAACGCUUGAAGUCAGACUUGCUUGCCGAGCAAUCGGUUUGCAGGCCAGCAUCAGUUUUCCGGGAUGGAUAAUGGUAGAGAGAAGGUAGCAGUUUCGGCUGUGUUAUAGCUCUCUGCUGGAUACAUCUUGGGGGACUGAGGAACGCAGUGUGCCUUUGGCGGGGGUUUCGACCUCUUCACACUUAGGAUGCUGGUGGAAUGGCUUUAAACGACCCGUCUUGAAACACGGACCAAGGAGUCUAACAUGCUUGCGAGUAUUUGGGUGUCAAACCCGGAUGCGUAAUGAAAGUGAAUGGAGGUGGGAACCGCAAGGUGCACCAUCGACCGAUCUGGAUUUUUAAUGAUGGAUUUGAGUAAGAGCACGUAUGUUGGGACCCGAAAGAUGGUGAACUAUGCCUGAAUAGGGCGAAGCCAGAGGAAACUCUGGUGGAGGCUCGUAGCGGUUCUGACGUGCAAAUCGAUCGUCAAAUUUGGGUAUAGGGGCGAAA